AUUGAACGCUGGCGGCAGGCCUAACACAUGCAAGUCGAGCGGAUGAAGGGAGCUUGCUCCUGGAUUCAGCGGCGGACGGGUGAGUAAUGCCUAGGAAUCUGCCUGGUAGUGGGGGAUAACGUCCGGAAACGGGCGCUAAUACCGCAUACGUCCUGAGGGUGAAAGUGGGGGAUCUUCGGACCUCACGCUAUCAGAUGAGCCUAGGUCGGAUUAGCUAGUUGGUGGGGUAAAGGCCUACCAAGGCGACGAUCCGUAACUGGUCUGCUAGGAUGAUCAGUCACACUGGAACUGAGACACGGUCCAGACUCCUACGGGAGGCAGCAGUGGGGAAUAUUGGACAAUGGGCGAAAGCCUGAUCCAGCCAUGCCACGUGUGUGAAGAAGGUCUUCGGAUUGUAAAGCACUUUUAGUUGGGGGAAAGGGCAGUAAGUUAAUACCUUGCUGUUUUGACGUUACCAACAGAAUAAGCACCGGCUAACUUCGUG
RNAcentral lists this ribosomal RNA (484 nucleotides) under uncultured bacterium. RNAcentral's name for it is "partial 16S ribosomal RNA". It matches the Rfam family "Bacterial small subunit ribosomal RNA", at positions 30 to 507 of the family's 1533-position model. The record is from RNAcentral.